GACGAACGCUGGCGGCGUGCUUAACACAUGCAAGUCGAACGGAAAGGCCCUGCUUUUGUGGGGUGCUCGAGUGGCGAACGGGUGAGUAACACGUGAGUAACCUGCCCUUGACUUUGGGAUAACUUCAGGAAACUGGGGCUAAUACCGGAUAGGAGCUCCUGCUGCAUGGUGGGGGUUGGAAAGUUUCGGCGGUUGGGGAUGGACUCGCGGCUUAUCAGCUUGUUGGUGGGGUAGUGGCUUACCAAGGCUUGGACGGGUAGCCGGCCUGAGAGGGUGACCGGCCACAUUGGGACUGAGAUACGGCCCAGACUCCUACGGGAGGCAGCAGUGGGGAAUAUUGCACAAUGGGCGGAAGCCUGAUGCAGCAACGCCGCGUGCGGGAGGACGGCCUUCGGGUUGUAAACCGCUUUCGCCUGUGACGAAGCGUGAGUGACGGUAAUGGGUAAAGAAGCACCGGCUAACUACGU
This 467-nucleotide ribosomal RNA is filed under the name uncultured bacterium. RNAcentral's name for it is "partial 16S ribosomal RNA". It matches the Rfam family "Bacterial small subunit ribosomal RNA", at positions 28 to 506 of the family's 1533-position model. The record is from RNAcentral.